This 494-nucleotide ribosomal RNA is filed under the name uncultured bacterium. RNAcentral's name for it is "partial 16S ribosomal RNA". It matches the Rfam family "Bacterial small subunit ribosomal RNA", at positions 28 to 507 of the family's 1533-position model. The record is from RNAcentral.
GACGAACGCUGGCGGCGUGCUUAACACAUGCAAGUCGAACGGAAAGGCCUGCUUUCCCUUGUGGAUUGCGGGUGCUCGAGUGGCGAACGGGUGAGUAACACGUGAGUGAUCUGCCCCCAACUUGGGUAUAAGCCUGGGAAACUGGGUCUAAUUCCCGAUAGGACUGCAGGGUGGUGCCUGUGGUGGAAAACGAUUUUCUAGUGGUUGGGGAUGGGCUCGCGGCCUAUCAGCUUGUUGGUGGGGUAAUGGCCUACCAAGGCGGCGACGGGUAGCCGGCCUGGGAGGGUGGACGGCCACAUUGGGACUGAGAUACGGCCCAGACUCCUACGGGAGGCAGCAGUGGGGAAUAUUGCACAAUGGGCGGAAGCCUGAUGCAGCGACGCCGCGUGGGGGAUGACGGCCUUCGGGUUGUAAACUCCUUUCGACCGCGAGGAAGCCACCUGGUUGGAAGGGUGGUGACGGUAGUGGUAGAAGAAGCACCGGCUAACUACGUG